Cotesia glomerata is the source of this 492-nucleotide long non-coding RNA. RefSeq lists it as uncharacterized. The transcript has 3 exons. NCBI's taxonomy places the organism in Eukaryota, Metazoa, Arthropoda, Insecta, Hymenoptera, Braconidae. The record is from RefSeq and is a predicted model, not a curated record.
CUUUCUUAUAAAGAAGUUUGCUGUCAUCAAUACGAUUUUUUACUUCUCUGAUGGAGCUCCACAACAAUUCAAAAACAAGAAAGCAUUUACAAACUUAUGUUAUCAUUAUGCUGACUUCGAAAUCAACGCUGAGUGGCAUUUUUUUGCAACUGCCCAUGGCAAAGGACCAUGCGAUGGUCUUGCGGGUUCAUUAAAACGAUAUGCUGCUAGAGCUUCAUUACAAAUGAACAAUAAAGAGCAUAUACUGAAACCACAAGAUUUGUUUUCCUGGGGAACGAAAAAUUUUACAAGCGUUGACUUUACUUUUAUAGCUAAUGACGAUUAUUUAAUAAAAAAAAAAUGUGUUAGACAUACGAUAUUCUCAAUCGAAAACGGUGAAAGGUACACAGUCAUUACACACUUUUGUGCCUUUAAAAGAUGAAAUUGGUUAUGCUUUCAUUAAAACUGUGUCCACAUCUCAAAAAAGUUCAAAAAUAAAAUACUCAAAAAUUU